CGCCUUGCCAGCCCGCUCAGAACUUAAAGGAAUUGACGGGGGCCCGCACAAGCGGUGGAGCAUGUGGUUUAAUUCGAAGCAACGCGAAGAACCUUACCAGGCCUUGACAUGCAGAGAACUUUCCAGAGAUGGAUUGGUGCCUUCGGGAACUCUGACACAGGUGCUGCAUGGCCGUCGUCAGCUCGUGUCGUGAGAUGUUGGGUUAAGUCCCGUAACGAGCGCAACCCUUGUCCUUAGUUACCAGCACGUUAUGGUGGGCACUCUAAGGAGACUGCCGGUGACAAACCGGAGGAAGGUGGGGAUGACGUCAAGUCCUCAUGGCCCUUAUGUCCAGGGCUACACACGUGCUACAAUGGCCGGUACAAAGGGUAGCAAGACCGCGAGGUGGAGCCAAUCCCAAAAAGCCGGUCUCAGUUCGGAUUGGAGUCUGCAACUCGACUCCAUGAAGUUGGAAUCGCUAGUAAUCGUGGAUCAGCAUGCCACGGUGAAUACGUUCCCGGGCCUU
Molecule: ribosomal RNA, 505 nt
Filed under: uncultured Pseudomonas sp.
Lineage: Bacteria; Pseudomonadati; Pseudomonadota; Gammaproteobacteria; Pseudomonadales; Pseudomonadaceae
Description: bacterial SSU rRNA
Rfam family: Bacterial small subunit ribosomal RNA
Source: RNAcentral